AACGCACAUUGCGCCUCCUGGUAUUCCGGGAGGCAUGCCUGUUCGAGCGUCAUUAAAAACCACUCAAGCUCUUUUGCUUGGUAUUGGGAGAUGAGUAUACUUUUCCUAGUUUACUCACUUUCGAAAUUCAAAGGCGUAGAGCCCCACAUACCACAGCGUAGUAAGUUUUCUUUCGCUUGGAGUGUGAGGUGAUAUUGCCACAAACCCCCAAUUAUUUUUCUAGGUUGACCUCGGAUCAGGUAGGGAUACCCGCUGAACUUAA
This 262-nucleotide unclassified non-coding RNA is filed under the name uncultured Pyronemataceae. RNAcentral's name for it is "sequence contains ITS2". The stretch from base 1 to 52 matches the Rfam family "5.8S ribosomal RNA", at positions 103 to 154 of the family's 154-position model. Lineage: Eukaryota; Fungi; Ascomycota; Pezizomycetes; Pezizales; Pyronemataceae. The record is from RNAcentral.